GCCAGCUAGCUCAGUUGGUAGAGCAUGAGAAUCUUAAUCUCAAGGUCAUGGGUCUAAGCCCCAUGCUGGGCCCA
Molecule: transfer RNA, 74 nt
Filed under: Notamacropus eugenii (tammar wallaby)
Lineage: Eukaryota; Metazoa; Chordata; Mammalia; Diprotodontia; Macropodidae
Description: tRNA-Lys (CTT) (tRNA-Lys-CTT-6-1)
Rfam family: tRNA
About the family: Transfer RNA (tRNA) molecules are approximately 80 nucleotides in length. Their secondary structure includes four short double-helical elements and three loops (D, anti-codon, and T loops).
Source: RNAcentral